Molecule: ribosomal RNA, 462 nt
Filed under: uncultured bacterium
Lineage: Bacteria
Description: partial 16S ribosomal RNA
Rfam family: Bacterial small subunit ribosomal RNA
Source: RNAcentral
GACGAACGCUGGCGGCGUGCUUAACACAUGCAAGUCGAACGGUAAGGCCUUUCGGGGUACACGAGUGGCGAACGGGUGAGUAACACGUGGGUGAUCUGCCCUGCACCUCGGGAUAAGCCCGGGAAACUGGGUCUAAUACCGGAUAGGACUGCGCGGUCCAUGCCGUGUGGGGGCAAGAUUUAUCGGUGCAGGAUGGGCCCGCGGCCUAUCAGCUUGUUGGUGGGGUAAUGGCCUACCAAGGCGACGACGGGUAGCCGGCCUGAGAGGGCGACCGGCCACACUGGGACUGAGACACGGCCCAGACUCCUACGGGAGGCAGCAGUGGGGAAUAUUGCACAAUGGGCGCAAGCCUGAUGCAGCGACGCCGCGUGAGGGAUGACGGCCUUCGGGUUGUAAACCUCUUUCAGCAGGGACGAAGCGUGAGUGACGGUACCUGCAGAAGAAGCACCGGCCAACUACGUG